This 253-nucleotide ribosomal RNA is filed under the name uncultured bacterium. RNAcentral describes it as "partial 16S ribosomal RNA". It matches the Rfam family "Bacterial small subunit ribosomal RNA", at positions 524 to 776 of the family's 1533-position model. The record is from RNAcentral.
UACGUAGGUGGCAAGCGUUGUCCGGAUUUACUGGGCGUAAAGAGCGCGCAGGCGGUCGUUCAAGUCGCGUGUGAAAGCCCCCGGCUCAACUGGGGAGGGUCACGCGAUACUGAUCGACUCGAAGGCAGGAGAGGGUAGUGGAAUUCCCGGUGUAGUGGUGAAAUGCGUAGAUAUCGGGAGGAACACCAGUGGCGAAGGCGACUACCUGGCUCGAUUCUGACGCUGAGGUGCGAAAGCGUGGGGAGCAAACAGG